This 555-nucleotide ribosomal RNA is filed under the name uncultured Atheliaceae. RNAcentral's name for it is "eukaryotic LSU rRNA". The stretch from base 214 to 368 matches the Rfam family "5.8S ribosomal RNA". Lineage: Eukaryota; Fungi; Basidiomycota; Agaricomycetes; Atheliales; Atheliaceae. The record is from RNAcentral.
AAGUCGUAACAAGGUUUCCGUAGGUGAACCUGCGGAAGGAUCAUUAUUGAAUUAGUGAGGGCUGUCUGCUGGCCCCUUCGGGGGCAUGUGCACGUCCGAGCCGUUUAAAUCAACACCUGUGAACUCACCGUAGGCCUUCGGGCUUAUGUAUCAUAUAUAUAUAUACUCAGAUCAUAGAAUGUACAUUUUGCCUUUAAAAAAGCAAUCAAAUACAACUUUCAACAACGGAUCUCUUGGCUCUCGCAUCGAUGAAGAACGCAGCGAAAUGCGAUAAGUAAUGUGAAUUGCAGAUUUUCAGUGAAUCAUCGAAUCUUUGAACGCACCUUGCGCUCCUUGGUAUUCCGAGGAGCAUGCCUGUUUGAGUGUCAUUAAAUCCUCAACCCCGUCCGUCGGUCGGGGCUUGGACUUUGGAGCGUGCUGGCGAAGGUCGGCUCCUCUUUAAAUGCAUCAGCGGAGAAAAACAAACCUUUUUUCCCCCUUCAGCGUGAUAACUGUGUUGCGCUGUGGUCGCGAAAGGGUCCGCUCAUAAUCGUCCUCGGACAAACACCGAAUCUG